UUCAUUGUUAAGAAGGAUUCGGUGGGCAUAUUUCUAUCUCACACUAAGCCGGGAAAUUAAAAAAACGAUAAUCAAUCUGGAAAUC
This 85-nucleotide transfer RNA is filed under the name Inga ruiziana. RNAcentral's name for it is "tRNA-Tyr". RNAcentral also lists the same sequence under 1 other name. The record is from RNAcentral. Lineage: Eukaryota; Viridiplantae; Streptophyta; Magnoliopsida; Fabales; Fabaceae.